Molecule: ribosomal RNA, 2733 nt
Filed under: Enterobacter cloacae
Lineage: Bacteria; Pseudomonadati; Pseudomonadota; Gammaproteobacteria; Enterobacterales; Enterobacteriaceae
Description: bacterial LSU rRNA
Rfam family: Bacterial large subunit ribosomal RNA
Source: RNAcentral
UUAAGCGACUAAGCGUACACGGUGGAUGCCCUGGCAGUCAGAGGCGAUGAAGGACGUGCUAAUCUGCGAAAAGCGCCGGCGAGGUGAUAUGAACCUUUGACCCGGCGAUGUCCGAAUGGGGAAACCCAGUGCAAUCCGUUGCACUAUCGUUAACUGAAUACAUAGGUUAACGAGGCGAACCGGGGGAACUGAAACAUCUAAGUACCCCGAGGAAAAGAAAUCAACCGAGAUUCCCCCAGUAGCGGCGAGCGAACGGGGAGCAGCCCGGAGUCUGAAUCAGCUUGUGUGUUAGUGGAACGGUCUGGAAAGUCCGACGGUACAGGGUGAUAGUCCCGUACACGAAAGCACACUUGCUGUGAACUCGAAGAGUAGGGCGGGACACGUGGUAUCCUGUCUGAAUAUGGGGGGACCAUCCUCCAAGGCUAAAUACUCCUGACUGACCGAUAGUGAACCAGUACCGUGAGGGAAAGGCGAAAAGAACCCCGGCGAGGGGAGUGAAAAAGAACCUGAAACCGUGUACGUACAAGCAGUGGGAGCCUCUUUAUGGGGUGACUGCGUACCUUUUGUAUAAUGGGUCAGCGACUUAUAUUCUGUAGCAAGGUUAACCGUAUAGGGGAGCCGAAGGGAAACCGAGUCUUAACUGGGCGUUAAGUUGCAGGGUAUAGACCCGAAACCCGGUGAUCUAGCCAUGGGCAGGUUGAAGGUUGGGUAACACUAACUGGAGGACCGAACCGACUAAUGUUGAAAAAUUAGCGGAUGACCUGUGGCUGGGGGUGAAAGGCCAAUCAAACCGGGAGAUAGCUGGUUCUCCCCGAAAGCUAUUUAGGUAGCGCCUCGUGAACUCAUCUUCGGGGGUAGAGCACUGUUUCGGCUAGGGGGCCAUCCCGGCUUACCAACCCGAUGCAAACUACGAAUACCGAAGAAUGUUAUCACGGGAGACACACGGCGGGUGCUAACGUCCGUCGUGAAGAGGGAAACAACCCAGACCGCCAGCUAAGGUCCCAAAGUCAUGGUUAAGUGGGAAACGAUGUGGGAAGGCACAGACAGCCAGGAUGUUGGCUUAGAAGCAGCCAUCAUUUAAAGAAAGCGUAAUAGCUCACUGGUCGAGUCGGCCUGCGCGGAAGAUGUAACGGGGCUAAACCAUGCACCGAAGCUGCGGCAGCGACACUAUGUGUUGUUGGGUAGGGGAGCGUUCUGUAAGCCGUUGAAGGUGUGCUGUGAGGCAUGCUGGAGGUAUCAGAAGUGCGAAUGCUGACAUAAGUAACGAUAAAGCGGGUGAAAAGCCCGCUCGCCGGAAGACCAAGGGUUCCUGUCCAACGUUAAUCGGGGCAGGGUGAGUCGACCCCUAAGGCGAGGCCGAAAGGCGUAGUCGAUGGGAAACAGGUUAAUAUUCCUGUACUUGGUGUUACUGCGAAGGGGGGACGGAGAAGGCUAUGUCAGCCGGGCGACGGUUGUCCCGGUUUAAGCAUGUAGGCGGAGGUUCCAGGUAAAUCCGGUACCUUGUUAACGCUGAGGUGUGAUGACGAGGCACUACGGUGCUGAAGUGAUAAAUGCCCUGCUUCCAGGAAAAGCCUCUAAGCAUCAGGUAACACGAAAUCGUACCCCAAACCGACACAGGUGGUCAGGUAGAGAAUACCAAGGCGCUUGAGAGAACUCGGGUGAAGGAACUAGGCAAAAUGGUGCCGUAACUUCGGGAGAAGGCACGCUGAUAGGUAGGUGAAGCCCCUGCGGGCGGAGCUGAAAUCAGUCGAAGAUACCAGCUGGCUGCAACUGUUUAUUAAAAACACAGCACUGUGCAAACACGAAAGUGGACGUAUACGGUGUGACGCCUGCCCGGUGCCGGAAGGUUAAUUGAUGGGGUUAGCGGCAACGCGAAGCUCUUGAUCGAAGCCCCGGUAAACGGCGGCCGUAACUAUAACGGUCCUAAGGUAGCGAAAUUCCUUGUCGGGUAAGUUCCGACCUGCACGAAUGGCGUAAUGAUGGCCAGGCUGUCUCCACCCGAGACUCAGUGAAAUUGAACUCGCUGUGAAGAUGCAGUGUACCCGCGGCAAGACGGAAAGACCCCGUGAACCUUUACUAUAGCUUGACACUGAACACUGGUCCUUGAUGUGUAGGAUAGGUGGGAGGCUUUGAAGCGUGGACGCCAGUCUGCGUGGAGCCAACCUUGAAAUACCACCCUUUAAUGGCUGGUGUUCUAACGUAGACCCGUAAUCCGGGUUGCGGACAGUGUCUGGUGGGUAGUUUGACUGGGGCGGUCUCCUCCCAAAGAGUAACGGAGGAGCACGAAGGUUGGCUAAUCCUGGUCGGACAUCAGGAGGUUAGUGCAAUGGCAUAAGCCAGCUUGACUGCGAGCGUGACGGCGCGAGCAGGUGCGAAAGCAGGUCAUAGUGAUCCGGUGGUUCUGAAUGGAAGGGCCAUCGCUCAACGGAUAAAAGGUACUCCGGGGAUAACAGGCUGAUACCGCCCAAGAGUUCAUAUCGACGGCGGUGUUUGGCACCUCGAUGUCGGCUCAUCACAUCCUGGGGCUGAAGUAGGUCCCAAGGGUAUGGCUGUUCGCCAUUUAAAGUGGUACGCGAGCUGGGUUUAGAACGUCGUGAGACAGUUCGGUCCCUAUCUGCCGUGGGCGCUGGAGAAUUGAGGGGGGCUGCUCCUAGUACGAGAGGACCGGAGUGGACGCAUCACUGGUGUUCGGGUUGUCAUGCCAAUGGCACUGCCCGGUAGCUAAAUGCGGAA